UACGGAGGGUGCAAGCGUUAAUCGGAAUUACUGGGCGUAAAGCGUACGUAGGCGGCUUGUUAAGCAAGAUGUGAAAUCCCCGGGCUCAACCUGGGAACCGCAUUUCGAACUGGCAAACUAGAGUCUUGUAGAGGGGGGUAGAAUUCCAGGUGUAGCGGUGAAAUGCGUAGAGAUCUGGAGGAAUACCGGUGGCGAAGGCGGCCCCUGGACAAAGACUGACGCUCAGGCACGAAAGCGUGGGGAGCAAACAGG
This 252-nucleotide ribosomal RNA is filed under the name uncultured microorganism. RNAcentral describes it as "partial 16S ribosomal RNA". It matches the Rfam family "Bacterial small subunit ribosomal RNA", at positions 524 to 776 of the family's 1533-position model. The record is from RNAcentral.